GCAGGUACUGGCACACAUACAGGGAACCUAUCUACUGGUACUUGCUCCUGGAUCCAUACUCUCCAUUGCUGAGGAAAGCAGAGGUCACCUCCCUCCCUGCAUCCAUGGUGAACACAAGGCAAGCCUUCUCUGGCUAUGAAGGGCAACUCGUGCAUCGGACCUGACGGUGAUGAUGAUGGUGGUAGAACAUGCACUGUGAAGACUCUGGCAAGUCAGAGAAGCAGAACAAGUUGCUGGCUUAAGGAUUUGGACAAUAACAAUUCUACCCCCAACAAAUAAUUAUAAUGCCGUCACUUCGUAGACCACUUUUCUGAUGUAGAGCAAGGAAGUUUGAGAGGAAGGGCACAGCCAUUCAAAUGUGUGCAUGUAUAAUAAGCACAGAGUCCUAAUAAUGAGUCACUAAGUAAUGGUAUUACCAGAUAGCCUUAUAAGUAGAUAUGCUGGGCCUUCUGGGUACAAUUGAUAAACAACACCACAACAUGGCAUCUGACAUCUAAUGUAAGAUGAAAAUCACUCUGAAUGAAGACUAAAUGAAAACAGAGGCAUGAGUAGUUAAUGUGGCCAAGUGGCCCAAAUUCCCUCCAUGGGGGAGAGGGGGGAAAGAAAGAGAGUCAGUGGUAUAGGCACUAAGACAGCAUGUACUGAACUCCUGCUGCCACAACCCACAAUACACCAGGUGUC
Long non-coding RNA from Mesocricetus auratus (golden hamster), 681 nucleotides. RefSeq lists it as uncharacterized. Lineage: Eukaryota; Metazoa; Chordata; Mammalia; Rodentia; Cricetidae. The transcript is spliced from 2 exons. The record is from RefSeq and is a predicted model, not a curated record.